This 636-nucleotide ribosomal RNA is filed under the name Agromyces sp. So1Ps_516. Its description in RNAcentral is "bacterial SSU rRNA". It matches the Rfam family "Bacterial small subunit ribosomal RNA", at positions 378 to 1019 of the family's 1533-position model. The record is from RNAcentral. Lineage: Bacteria; Bacillati; Actinomycetota; Actinomycetes; Micrococcales; Microbacteriaceae.
GCAGCCUGAUGCAGCAACGCCGCGUGCGGGAUGACGGCCUUCGGGUUGUAAACCGCUUUUAGUAGGGAAGAAGGGCUUCGGCUUGACGGUACCUGCAGAAAAAGGACCGGCUAACUACGUGCCAGCAGCCGCGGUAAUACGUAGGGUCCGAGCGUUGUCCGGAAUUAUUGGGCGUAAAGAGCUCGUAGGCGGUUUGUCGCGUCUGCUGUGAAAACUAGAGGCUCAACCUCUAGCCUGCAGUGGGUACGGGCAGACUUGAGUGCGGUAGGGGAGAAUGGAAUUCCUGGUGUAGCGGUGGAAUGCGCAGAUAUCAGGAGGAACACCGAUGGCGAAGGCAGUUCUCUGGGCCGUAACUGACGCUGAGGAGCGAAAGCGUGGGGAGCGAACAGGAUUAGAUACCCUGGUAGUCCACGCCGUAAACGUUGGGCGCUAGAUGUGGGGACCUUUCCACGGUUUCCGUGUCGUAGCUAACGCAUUAAGCGCCCCGCCUGGGGAGUACGGCCGCAAGGCUAAAACUCAAAGGAAUUGACGGGGGCCCGCACAAGCGGCGGAGCAUGCGGAUUAAUUCGAUGCAACGCGAAGAACCUUACCAAGGCUUGACAUACACGAGAACGGGCCAGAAAUGGUCAACUCUUU